RNA transcript from Oryza sativa Japonica Group (Japanese rice), 1337 nucleotides. RefSeq lists it as uncharacterized. NCBI's taxonomy places the organism in Eukaryota, Viridiplantae, Streptophyta, Magnoliopsida, Poales, Poaceae. The record is from RefSeq and is a predicted model, not a curated record.
CUUCCUUCAACCAACCCUCGCCUCUAGGCAGACGCUUCGCAGAGGCAAAAGCUCGAACACAUGGCGCGCGCCCUAGUCCGCCGGGCUCUCUCCCUCGCCGCCGCGGCCUCCUCCCCGGCGAAACCAUCCUUCUCCACCGUCGUCGCGCCGCUGCGCUCCCCGAUGGACGACCGCCUCCUCCGCCUCCUGCGCUCCGAGAUCAACUACAUCUCCGAACGCCGCCCUCCCUACCCGCCGCCGAAGGCCUUCAAAUCGUUCGGGGUGGAGGACCGCCCGGGGGAGCAGUGGGUGCGCCUCCGCGCCACCCGCGGCGCCCAGGACGAGGAGGUCAAGGUCGACGCCACCAUGUUCGACGGCGCCGCCGCCCCGCCCCCAGACGCGCCCCUCUUCCGCCGCGUCGAGUCGCUCGAGCGCGGCCCGCGCCUCCACCUCAGCCUCAUCGUCGAGGUCUCCCGGGCGGACCGCGUCCUCGGCUUCAUCUGCUCCGCCUGGCACGACGAACUCGUCGUCCGCCACGUCCUCACUCUCCGGGACGCCGAUGGCUCCAGCACCAGCAGCGGAGGCCGCGACUUCGUCAAGCUGGAGGCUAGGGAGAGGGAGUCGGUGAGGAAAUUCUUGCAGGAGAGGGAGGUGGAUGACGAGCUUGCCGAGUUCUUGCACGACUACAUGGCGAACAAGGAAAAGAUGGAGCUUCUCCGGUGGUUGAAGACUGUCGAAUCAUUCGUCGAGAAGUAGGCACAGGAGAAGCAGAUAAAUCAGGGAAUCCAAUCCCUUGGUUGGCUUGGCUUGGCUUGGCUCCACGCUUUCGAGAAGAAGCACACAGACAAAAUCACAGAUACUAGUUCUUAACUCUUUGAGUGACCGAGCUCGAGCUAAAACCCUACUACAGUUAAUGACUGAACCUGUUUUCCUCCGCAAUGCUUGUUGUAGUAAAGAAAUGGUGAGGAGGAGUUCCUUGCUGGUAUCCGCAUGACUCUGGACUUAUUUCAAAGUUCAAACUAUGGGAACUGAAAACAAAUAGCGUCUGGGAAGUGAUGAUAAGAGCUGCUGUCCUACACACCAUGUAAAUUAUCCACCUCAGUGGUUCAAUCCCAUUGUUCGUGCUGUAUGACUCUAGCAAUGAGCUGGGUUUUCAGCAUAUUCUGUGGUUCAAUUCUAGUCACAUUUGAGAAGAUCACUAGGCACGCUCGUCUGAUUAUAUUGGUGCUAUGGAGCACUACCAUUUGCUGUGGAAUACAGACAAUUCUUAUGCGGUUGGUUGUAUGGCAAUUGCUCGCCUAUUCAUUUUUAUUUUAAACAAUAUAAGUAGAUCUCCUACUGUGCUUGUUUUGAAUUGC